This 1370-nucleotide ribosomal RNA is filed under the name Kocuria sp. RNAcentral describes it as "bacterial SSU rRNA". It matches the Rfam family "Bacterial small subunit ribosomal RNA". Lineage: Bacteria; Bacillati; Actinomycetota; Actinomycetes; Micrococcales; Micrococcaceae. The record is from RNAcentral.
UGGCUCAGGACGAACGCUGGCGGCGUGCUUAACACAUGCAAGUCGAACGAUGAUGCCCAGCUUGCUGGGCGGAUUAGUGGCGAACGGGUGAGUAAUACGUGAGUAACCUGCCCUUGACUCUGGGAUAAGCCUGGGAAACUGGGUCUAAUACUGGAUACUACCUCUUGCCGCAUGGUGGGUGGUGGAAAGGGUUUUACUGGUUUUGGAUGGGCUCACGGCCUAUCAGCUUGUUGGUGGGGUAAUGGCUCACCAAGGCGACGACGGGUAGCCGGCCUGAGAGGGUGACCGGCCACACUGGGACUGAGACACGGCCCAGACUCCUACGGGAGGCAGCAGUGGGGAAUAUUGCACAAUGGGCGGAAGCCUGAUGCAGCGACGCCGCGUGAGGGAUGACGGCCUUCGGGUUGUAAACCUCUUUCAGUAGGGAAGAAGCGAGAGUGACGGUACCUGCAGAAGAAGCGCCGGCUAACUACGUGCCAGCAGCCGCGGUAAUACGUAGGGCGCAAGCGUUGUCCGGAAUUAUUGGGCGUAAAGAGCUCGUAGGCGGUUUGUCGCGUCUGCUGUGAAAGCCCGGGGCUCAACCCCGGGUCUGCAGUGGGUACGGGCAGACUAGAGUGCAGUAGGGGAGACUGGAAUUCCUGGUGUAGCGGUGAAAUGCGCAGAUAUCAGGAGGAACACCGAUGGCGAAGGCAGGUCUCUGGGCUGUUACUGACGCUGAGGAGCGAAAGCAUGGGGAGCGAACAGGAUUAGAUACCCUGGUAGUCCAUGCCGUAAACGUUGGGCACUAGGUGUGGGGGACAUUCCACGUUUUCCGCGCCGUAGCUAACGCAUUAAGUGCCCCGCCUGGGGAGUACGGCCGCAAGGCUAAAACUCAAAGGAAUUGACGGGGGCCCGCACAAGCGGCGGAGCAUGCGGAUUAAUUCGAUGCAACGCGAAGAACCUUACCAAGGCUUGACAUUCACCGGACCGCCCCAGAGAUGGGGUUUCCCUUCGGGGCUGGUGGACAGGUGGUGCAUGGUUGUCGUCAGCUCGUGUCGUGAGAUGUUGGGUUAAGUCCCGCAACGAGCGCAACCCUCGUUCUAUGUUGCCAGCACGUGAUGGUGGGGACUCAUAGGAGACUGCCGGGGUCAACUCGGAGGAAGGUGGGGAUGACGUCAAAUCAUCAUGCCCCUUAUGUCUUGGGCUUCACGCAUGCUACAAUGGCCGGUACAAAGGGUUGCGAUACUGUGAGGUGGAGCUAAUCCCAAAAAGCCGGUCUCAGUUCGGAUUGAGGUCUGCAACUCGACCUCAUGAAGUCGGAGUCGCUAGUAAUCGCAGAUCAGCAACGCUGCGGUGAAUACGUUCCCGGGCCUUGUACACACCGCCCGUCA